GGUUGGCCGAGUGCAGUGGUGUUUACAACUAAUUGAUCACAACCAGUUACAGAUUCCUUUGUUCCUUCUCCACUCCCACUGCUUCACUUGACUGGCCUAAA
RNAcentral lists this Y RNA (101 nucleotides) under Propithecus coquereli (Coquerel's sifaka). RNAcentral's name for it is "Y RNA (ENSPCOG00000004579.1)". It matches the Rfam family "Y RNA". From Rfam's summary of the family: Y RNAs are components of the Ro ribonucleoprotein particle (Ro RNP), in association with Ro60 and La proteins. The Y RNAs and Ro60 and La proteins are well conserved, but the function of the Ro RNP is not known. Lineage: Eukaryota; Metazoa; Chordata; Mammalia; Primates; Indriidae. The record is from Rfam by way of RNAcentral.